RNAcentral lists this ribosomal RNA (252 nucleotides) under Escherichia coli. RNAcentral's name for it is "partial 23S ribosomal RNA". It matches the Rfam family "Bacterial large subunit ribosomal RNA", at positions 1 to 253 of the family's 2925-position model. RNAcentral also lists the same sequence under 1 other name. The record is from RNAcentral. Lineage: Bacteria; Pseudomonadati; Pseudomonadota; Gammaproteobacteria; Enterobacterales; Enterobacteriaceae.
GGUUAAGCGACUAAGCGUACACGGUGGAUGCCCUGGCAGUCAGAGGCGAUGAAGGACGUGCUAAUCUGCGAUAAGCGUCGGUAAGGUGAUAUGAACCGUUAUAACCGGCGAUUUCCGAAUGGGGAAACCCAGUGUGAUUCGUCACACUAUCAUUAACUGAAUCCAUAGGUUAAUGAGGCGAACCGGGGGAACUGAAACAUCUAAGUACCCCGAGGAAAAGAAAUCAACCGAGAUUCCCCCAGUAGCGGCGAG